AUGAUUAAUUAAAUAGCCGCAAUUUGUGCUAAGGUAGCAUAAUAAUUUGUCUUUUAAAUAAAGACCAGAACAAAAGAUUUAACAUUUUAAUCUAUUUAUUUAAAAUAAAAAUUCAAAUUUUCUUAAAUGUAAAAAGACAUUUCUAUAAAAGAAAGACGACAAGACCCUAUUGAACUUAACUUUAGUUAAACUGGGGCAGUUAAUUAAAUAUUACUUUAAUUCAUCUUUUUUCAUAAUAAUCCAAAAUUAUUUGAUAAUUCAGUUACCAUAGGGAUAACAGCGCAAUUAAAUUUUAAAGCUCUUAUUUAAAAUAUAGAUUACGACCUCGAUGUUGAAUUAAUAACCUAUAUAAAGCAAAUUUCAAAAAAGGAAGUCUGUUCGACUUUUAAUUAAUUACAUGAUUUGAGUUCAGACCGGUGUAAGCCAGGUCGGUUUCAAUCUUCUAUAAACUUUUUUACAGUACGAAAGGACCUAAAAAUAUAAUUUAAUUAAUUAUUUGGCAGAUCAAUGCAUUAGAAUUAGAAUCUAAUAAAACU
This 536-nucleotide ribosomal RNA is filed under the name Bathippus macrognathus. RNAcentral's name for it is "partial 16S ribosomal RNA". The stretch from base 150 to 444 matches the Rfam family "Bacterial large subunit ribosomal RNA", at positions 2074 to 2646 of the family's 2925-position model. The record is from RNAcentral. Lineage: Eukaryota; Metazoa; Arthropoda; Arachnida; Araneae; Salticidae.